UACGUAGGGUGCAAGCGUUGUCCGGAAUUAUUGGGCGUAAAGAGCUCGUUGGCGGUCUGUCGCGUCGGAUGUGAAAAUCCAGGGCUUAACCCUGGGCCUGCAUUCGAUACGGGCAGACUAGAGUUCGGUAGGGGAGACUGGAAUUCCUGGUGUAGCGGUGAAAUGCGCAGAUAUCAGGAGGAACACCGGUGGCGAAGGCGGGUCUCUAGGCCGACACUGACGCUGAGGAGCGAAAGCGUGGGGAGCGAACAGG
Molecule: ribosomal RNA, 253 nt
Filed under: uncultured bacterium
Lineage: Bacteria
Description: partial 16S ribosomal RNA
Rfam family: Bacterial small subunit ribosomal RNA
Source: RNAcentral